GCUUGUCUCAAAGAUUAAGCCAUGCAUGUCUAAGUAUAAACAAAUCUAUACGUGAAACUGCGAAUGGCUCAUUAUAUCAGUUAUAGUUUAUUUGAUAGUCCCCACUACUUGGAUAACCGUAGUAAUUCUAGAGCUAAUACAUGCGUCAAGUCCGGACCGCGCGAGCGGGAAGGAUGUGUUUAUUAGAUACAACCAACCCUUCGGGUCAAUGGUGAAUCAUAAUAACUGACCGAACCGCAUUCUUCGGAGGCGGUGGUUCAUUCAAGUUUCUGCCCUAUCAGCUUUCGAUGGUAGGGUAUUGGCCUACCAUGGCGUUAACGGGUAACGGAGAAUUAGGGUUCGAUUCCGGAGAGGGAGCCUGAGAGAUGGCUACCACAUCCAAGGAAGGCAGCAGG
Molecule: ribosomal RNA, 395 nt
Filed under: Adriamonas peritocrescens
Lineage: Eukaryota; Bigyra; Bicosoecida; Siluaniidae
Description: partial small subunit ribosomal RNA
Rfam family: Eukaryotic small subunit ribosomal RNA
Source: RNAcentral